AAUGAACGCUGGCGGUAGGCCUAACACAUGCAAGUCGAACGGCAGCACAGUAAGAGCUUGCUCUUACGGGUGGCGAGUGGCGGACGGGUGAGGAAUACAUCGGAAUCUACUUUUUCGUGGGGGAUAACGUAGGGAAACUUACGCUAAUACCGCAUACGACCUACGGGUGAAAGCAGGGGAUCUUCGGACCUUGCGCGAUUGAAUGAGCCGAUGUCGGAUUAGCUAGUUGGCGGGGUAAAGGCCCACCAAGGCGACGAUCCGUAGCUGGUCUGAGAGGAUGAUCAGCCACACUGGAACUGAGACACGGUCCAGACUCCUACAGGAGGCAGCAGUGGGGAAUAUUGGACAAUGGGCGCAAGCCUGAUCCAGCCAUACCGCGUGGGUGAAGAAGGCCUUCGGGUUGUAAAGCCCUUUUGUUGGGAAAGAAAAGCAGCAGGUUAAUACCCCGCUGUUCUGACGGUACCCAAAGAAUAAGCACCGGCUAACUUCGUG
RNAcentral lists this ribosomal RNA (492 nucleotides) under uncultured bacterium. RNAcentral's name for it is "partial 16S ribosomal RNA". It matches the Rfam family "Bacterial small subunit ribosomal RNA", at positions 29 to 507 of the family's 1533-position model. The record is from RNAcentral.